RNAcentral lists this unclassified non-coding RNA (1289 nucleotides) under Hevea brasiliensis (rubber tree). The record is from RNAcentral. Lineage: Eukaryota; Viridiplantae; Streptophyta; Magnoliopsida; Malpighiales; Euphorbiaceae.
AAUUACAAUGGAGAGAAGCUUCACAUUAACAUUAACUGGCAAUUGGGAUGGAAAUUCGCUUUAGAAAUUUGUUUCAGCAGAGUUUCACAAUCAAAAUUUGUAUGUAUGGUUAGUGGGAAUACACAGGGCCAUCGUUUGCUUCCAUUGGACCUGAAAUGCAUCCUCUGUAGAAGUAGGUCCAGAGUUGAUUGCAUUUGUAAGUUUUCUUGCUAGAACUGCCUUGUUCACAGAAGGCAAUGGAUCCAAUUACGGUUUCUUAUUCCUCAUCAUUCAGUCACAUGAGAAAUUGCAUUAGCUUACUACGGUUGGCUAUUUCUGCAGUCUCCCUAGAUACACCAUAAGUACAUGCCGGCAAAGGUUCAGUACUAGCCAAUUCAUUUCAGUUCCAUACUAGCCAAUUCAUUUCAAAGUUUUUUUCAUUUGUGUGAAAUACAUGAAACUUGUAGCCCAUACCCUUUGUUUGGAAUGAGGGAAAUGGAGAGGAGAAAAUAAAUGAAAUUUGAUAUUCUUAAAAUCCUUGAUUGGACAUUAAAUUGAAGAGAGAGAAGAAGAGCAAGGGAGAGAGUCUGGGAAAAGGUAUUUCUCAACUCCUUAUAUUUGAUCCAAAAGAUUUCUCUCUAAAAGAGGAAUUGCCACUUGAUAGCGCCUUGGAAAUACUUGCAUGGUUCAUAUAUAUAUAUAUAUAUCACUUGUAUGCAAAUACAAACAUCAUUUCUCAUACGAAAUCUAUACAAACAUCAUAAUGGAAAUUAGAUCUUUUAUUUUCUCUUCAUUUUUCUUACUCAAAUUCUUUUUAUUUUCCCUGCACAAUUAAGAUACAAACAAAGGGGGAAAUUCUCUUGCAACAUUGAGUUAAUUUUCCCUGUAUCUGAAAAAUGAGAGGCCCAUUGCUCUCACCAUAUCGCUGCAAAUUUCAUUCUGCAACUCUUUCGCAAAAGUUGUGCGUAUGAAAGCCUCUGCAAGAUCCUUGGAUAUCCAGUUUAAUGUCAAGGAAGUCACCAUAAAGUCACCUUUCCUCUGGAUUUCAUAUUCAACAGAAUCUUCUUCUGGAACCCUAAUUGUACCAUCUACAAACCCCAACUUUUGUUUUGCAUCGUUGCCCUAUUCCAUGAUCGAUAGUUACCAUCGAUCAAAGAGGCCGUGACUAAAGCUCACACCUAGAUUGUCCGAGCUUUGCAAGCUCAACAAUCCUAUCCAGUGGCUAUAUUCACCAUCGUAGCUUGAUUCCGUGCAGGAACUUGCUCUGCUCUUGCCUUUAUGGCAUUAAUUUCUUAUACUAGGACUGCAAA